Molecule: transfer RNA, 76 nt
Filed under: Deltaproteobacteria bacterium
Lineage: Bacteria; Pseudomonadati; Myxococcota; Myxococcia
Also listed under: 1 other name
Description: tRNA-Thr
Rfam family: tRNA
About the family: Transfer RNA (tRNA) molecules are approximately 80 nucleotides in length. Their secondary structure includes four short double-helical elements and three loops (D, anti-codon, and T loops).
Source: RNAcentral
GCUGGUGUAGCUCAGUUGGUAGAGCAGCGGUCUUGUAAACCGCAGGUCGCGGGUUCGACUCCCACCACCAGCUCCA